GCGGAGGGCCGGAUGGCCGCGGGCGGCUCCGGUCGUCCGAGGAAAGUCCGGACUCCACAAGACAAAGGUGCCGGGUAACGCCCGGCCGGGGUAACCCGAGGGAAAGCGCCACAGAGAACAGACCGCCCCGUUUAUCGGGGUAAGGGUGAAACGGCGGUGUAAGAGACCACCGGGGGACUGGUAACAGGCCCCGCAUGGCAAGCCCCACCUGGAGCAAUGCCGAAUAGGAACCUCGCGCGGCAUGUCCGCAGGGUCGUCUUGGCCCGGAGGUUCGGGUUGGCAGCUAGAGGCACGCAGGCAACUGCGCGCCAAGAUGAAUGGUCAUCCAGAGCGUUUACGCUUGGACAGAAUCCGGCUUAUAGGCUCUCCGCGCAA
Donghicola sp. KarMa is the source of this 375-nucleotide non-coding RNA. It matches the Rfam family "Bacterial RNase P class A". From Rfam's summary of the family: Ribonuclease P (RNase P) is a ubiquitous endoribonuclease, found in archaea, bacteria and eukarya as well as chloroplasts and mitochondria. Its best characterised activity is the generation of mature 5'-ends of tRNAs by cleaving the 5'-leader elements of precursor-tRNAs. Cellular RNase Ps are ribonucleoproteins. The record is from Rfam. NCBI's taxonomy places the organism in Bacteria, Pseudomonadati, Pseudomonadota, Alphaproteobacteria, Rhodobacterales, Roseobacteraceae.